Molecule: ribosomal RNA, 261 nt
Filed under: uncultured bacterium
Lineage: Bacteria
Description: partial 16S ribosomal RNA
Rfam family: Bacterial small subunit ribosomal RNA
Source: RNAcentral
GAUCAUGGCUCAGGAUGAACGCUAGCUACAGGCUUAACACAUGCAAGUCGAGGGGCAGCAUGACCUAGCAAUAGGUUGAUGGCGACCGGCGCACGGGUGAGUAACACGUAUCCAACCUACCGGUUAUUCCGGGAUAGCCUUUCGAAAGAAAGAUUAAUACCGGAUAGUAUAACGAGAAGGCAUCUUUUUAUUAUUAAAGAAUUUCGAUAACCGAUGGGGAUGCGUUCCAUUAGUUUGUUGGCGGGGUAACGGCCCACCAAG